UACGAAGGGUGCAAGCGUUAAUCGGAAUUACUGGGCGUAAAGCGUGCGCAGGCGGUUCGCUAAGACCGAUGUGAAAUCCCCGGGCUUAACCUGGGAACUGCAUUGGUGACUGGCAGGCUUUGAGUGUGGCAGAGGGAGGUAGAAUUCCACGUGUAGCAGUGAAAUGCGUAGAGAUGUGGAGGAAUACCGAUGGCGAAGGCAGCCUCCUGGGCCAACACUGACGCUCAUGCACGAAAGCGUGGGGAGCAAACAGG
This 254-nucleotide ribosomal RNA is filed under the name uncultured bacterium. RNAcentral describes it as "partial 16S ribosomal RNA". It matches the Rfam family "Bacterial small subunit ribosomal RNA", at positions 524 to 776 of the family's 1533-position model. The record is from RNAcentral.